GACGAACGCUGGCGGCGUGCUUAACACAUGCAAGUCGAACGGAAAGGCCCUGCUUUUGUGGGGUGCUCGCGUGGCGCACGGGUGAGUAACAUGUGAGUAACCUGCCCUUGACUUUGGGAUAACUUCAGGAAACUGGGGCUAAUACCGGCUAGGAGCUCCUGCUGCAUGGUGGGGGUUGGAAAGUUUCGGCGGUUGGGGAUGGACUCGCGGCUUAUCAGCUUGUUGGUGGGGUAGUGGCUUACCAAGGCUUUGACGGGUAGCCGGCCUGAGAGGGUGACCGGCCACAAGGGGACUGAGAGACGGCCCAGACUCCUACGGGAGGCAGCAGUGGGGAAUAUUGCACAAUGGGCGGAAGCCUGAUGCAGCAACGCCGCGUGCGGGAUGACGGCCUUCGUGUGGUAAACCGCUGUCGCCUGUGACGAAGCGUGAGUGACGGUAAUGGGUAAAGAAGCACCGGCUAACUACGUG
RNAcentral lists this ribosomal RNA (468 nucleotides) under uncultured bacterium. Its description in RNAcentral is "partial 16S ribosomal RNA". It matches the Rfam family "Bacterial small subunit ribosomal RNA", at positions 28 to 507 of the family's 1533-position model. The record is from RNAcentral.